AUGAACGUUGGCGGCGUGGAUUAGGCAUGCAAGUCGAGCGAGAACCCGCAAGGGGGACAGCGGCAAACGGGGUAGUAACGGGUAGGUGACGUACCCUCGGGUCGGGGAUAGCCACGGGAAACUGUGGGUAAUACCCGAUAAUCUCCGGGAGUUUGAAAGCUUCUGGAGCAAAGGUGAGAUUCCACCUGGGGAGCGGCCUGCUUCGUAUUAGCUAGUUGGUGAGGUAACGGCUCACCAAGGCGACGAUGCGUAGGGGGUGUGAGAGCAUGACCCCCACCACUGGGACUGAGAUACUGCCCAGACACCUACGGGUGGCUGCAGUCGAGAAUCUUCGGCAAUGGGAGCAAGCCUGACCGAGCGACGCCGCGUGUGGGAUGAAGGCCCUUGGGUUGUAAACCACUGUCAGAGGGGAUAAAGUGUACUGAAGUUAUCUUCGGUAUUUGACAUAGCCUCAGAGGAAGCACGGGCUAAGUUCGU
This 477-nucleotide ribosomal RNA is filed under the name uncultured bacterium. Its description in RNAcentral is "bacterial SSU rRNA". It matches the Rfam family "Bacterial small subunit ribosomal RNA", at positions 29 to 506 of the family's 1533-position model. The record is from RNAcentral.